CCCUCCUGGUAGGAAUGUAUAUCCCAUACGUCACUAGCUCAUGGACUCUUGCUAAUAUGAAAGAAAUGAAUUUAUCAGGUAAGUUCUUACAUAAAUUAUGUUUUUUUUGUUGGGUAGUGGUUUUCAGGCCUGGUCCCCCUUUAGAAUGGGCCGCCUGUGGUACCCUCCCGUUUUGGCAUUCAGUGUCCCCUAUAGCUUGGGUAUUGUUUUCCCAAAAUUAAUGAAUGCAGCUGUGGACUCUUUCCAUUUAGGGAAAAAAAAACAUAAAUUAUGCUUAUCUGAUCAUUUUCUUUUCUUCCGAUGGAAAGAGUCCACAGCUCCCCACCUGUCUUUUUUUUUUAUGUGGUGCGUCUUGGUUUUUUAUUCUUCUGGCACCUUUUCACCCCGAUAUUUUUUCUACUGUUCCUUGGCAAUAUGACUGGGGGAUGAGGGAAGUGGGAGGAGUAUUUAAGCCUUUGGCAGGGGUGUCUUUACCUCCUCCUGGUAGCCAGGUUCUUAUUUCCCAAAAGUAAUGAAUGCAGCUGUGGACUCUUUCCAUCGAAUGAAAAGAAAAUGAUCAGGUAAGCAUAAUUUGUUUUUAAACAACUUUCUAAUUUAUUUCUAUUAUCAAUUUUUCUUUGUUCUCUUGGUAUCUUUUGUAGAAAAGCAGGGACGUAAGCUUAGGAGCCGGCCCAUUUCUGGAGCACUAUAUAGCAGCAGUUUUGCAAGAAUGUUAUCCAUUUGCAAGAGCACUAGAGGGCAGCACUAUUUCCUGCCAUGCAGUGCUUCAGAUGCCUACCUAGGUAUCUCUUAAACACAGAUCAUGGGUGUGAAGCAAAUUUGAUAAUAGAAGUAAAUUGGAAACUUUUUUUUAAAAUGGUUUGAUCUGCCUGAAUCACAAAAGAAAAUGUUUGGGUUUCAUAUCCCAUUAAUAAUAUGUAGUCUGUACAAUAAUACUCUUAAUUCUAAACAUUAGACUCUUGCCUAAAAUAUCACCAGACAUCAGUCAUAUGGAGCCAGAUUUAUCAUCCAUGUUCAGGGGUGUACAUAUUCGCCCUUGUCCUCCCGGCUUCUUAUCAUUUACCAUUGCACACGAGCGCUCGUGCACUUGCGUGCAACCCUGCCAGUGCACACCAAAUCACGUGCGGAUAGAAGCUGUCAAUCUCUCUGUUUGGGGAGAUUGAAAUUCUCCUGCAGUCAAAGGGGAGAAAAGGGCUUUAUAGACUUGCUCUUCUUAUGAGACUUCAAACUACUUAUGAGCUUGUAUAGUGCAUAAGUAUGGUGUACAAAAUUGGACUGAACAAAACUUUUUCUUGCAGCCUCUCAAACCAUAAGUUUAAGACUUAAGGUUUAUCAAGUUGAAAACAUUUGCCUCUCAAAAGUUGUGAAUAAGACAAUUAAUUUAUUAUGAUUUGAUAUUUUUUUUCUUAAUACAUUCUACUAAAAUUGCUGUUUCAUGUGAUGCAAGGUCUGGCUAGUUCAUUCUUCUUUGAUUAUUAAAUUGAUUUGGUUCAAAGUUAUACGAUGUAUUAAAAUAUUAUUCUAUUACUUUAGAGCAUCCAUUAAUGUCCAGUUUUUAUUACUGAAACAGGUCAUAUGUGAGGUGAAAGAUUACGCACAGACUGCAUGCAUAUGCAUUGGGCAUACAUAGAUCAACUGCCUGGUAUACUUUGUGCUAUUUUAGGACCAGUCUUGCAAAUUUAUCUUAGUUUUUAACUGACCAUAAGCUGCUCUGUUUUGUAGUGGAGUUGAUUUUCUGACUUAUGUUAAUUUAUUUUAUUUUUUUUGGAUAACAUUGUAUUGAGCUUUUUCUUUAAAACUUUUUUAUUUUCAUAGCUAUAAUUAUAUACUUUGUGGUGGUGAAGCUAUUUUUUAUUUUUUUUUAUUUUUUGCUUUUCCUAUUACUAUUGACAUUAAACAGUGUACUGAUUCUUACACAUAUACGGGCAGGUUACAAGUGGCUUGCUAUUUAGAGCUUUCACUUGCGCGGAAACACCGCUAGAAGUAAGCUUUUAAUGCACGCACAUUUGUGCGAGUAUUACAAGUUAAAAGUAAAACUUUUGCGCACAAGCGGAACCCACUGUGCGUUAACUUCAGGACUUUGGCUAUCACAUUAACAAAUUCGCCCCAUAUACUUCAAUGGAACAUUUUAUGAAAAUAACUCAACAUUUAUCCCUUGCACACUAACCCAACACAGUGUUAUACUGCACUGCUCAACCCAAUGUGAGUUAUUCAUAUUUCACAUUCCAAUGUUCUUCACAUAGAAGAAAAUGUUCUUUUUAUAUUUAAAGAUGUGUAUUUAGUCAUAUAUGUAUACAUUAUAGUCCUUUUAAUUCAAAUACCUUCACUUACCAUUUACAUUUUAACUUUUUUAUAAAAAAAUAAAUGAUGAAUAUUUAUAUAUUAUAGAUUAUUUGUAGAGCGCCAACAGAUUUCACAGCGCUAUAAACAUAGGCGGAGUACAACAAAACAUUUAUAGGGAUCAAACGGGUAGAAGGCCCUGCCAAGAGUCGUUGUAGUCGGAUCUUAAGAAGGUGAUCUACAAACAGCUGGACUCUUAGACUUACAUGUUAAGGGGGUUCAAGGGGAUAGCAAUGGAGGAGAGGAACUGGUAUAAAGAAAGGUUUGUGUAGGUUGUAUGCAUCCCUGAACAGUAGUCUUUAGGGAGCGCUUGAAACUUUCAAAGCUAUGGUAUAGUCUUGUGGAGCGAGGCAGAGAGUUCCACAAGAUGGGAGCCAGUCUGGAGAAGUCUUGUAAAUGGGAGUGUGAUUAGGUAACAAGAGAGGAGGAGAGGAGGUCAUGAGCAGAGUGAAGGGGACGGGAGGGAGAGUAUCUGGAGACAAGGUAUGAGAUAUAGGGGGGGAGCAGUGCAGUUGAGGGCUUUGUAUGUCAGAGUGAGAAUUUUGUGUUUAAUCAUAGAGGCAGCCAGUGAAGGGAUUGGUAGAGAGGUGCAGCAGAUGAAGAGCGACGUGUAAGGAAAAUGAGCCAGGCAGAGGCAUUCAUUAUGGAUUGUAAAGGAGCUAGGCGGAGACCAGAGAGGACAGAGUUGCAGUAAAUGAGGCGUGAAAGGAUGAGAGAGUGGAUUAAAAUCUUGUCUUGUGUAAGGACAUGUCUAAUUUUAAAGAUGUUUUUAAGAUGAAAGCGGCAGGAUUUAGCCAAGGACAGAAUGUGAGGAGUGAAAGAAAGAUCUGAGUCAAAUCUGACCCCAAGACAUCGGGCAUGCGGGGUAGGGCUAAUGGAGUUCUCGACUGUUAUACAGAGAUUGGGGGUGAAGAUUUUGGAAGAGAGGGGGGGAAUAAGGAGCUCAGUUUUGGAGAGAUUUAGCUUGAGGUAGUUAGAGGACAUCCAGGAAGAGAUGUGAGAAAGACAGUUAGUGGAACCCGUGGGACUUUAUUAGAGACCCUAAUGAUGAUGUGUAGAUUGAGAAGAGAAGGGGACCGAGGACAGAGCCUUGUGGUACCCCAAAAAAGUUGUGACGGGGCAGAGGAGGCCCCAGAGAAGGCUAUACUAUACGGUUUGACAGGUAGGAAGAGAACCACAAAAGGGCUGUGUCACAAAUGCAGAAGGAUUGGAGUUUUUUGGGUUUUUUUUAUCAGAUAGUGUAUAUAUGAGUGUAACAGUUUAUUUUAAUGCAUUUAUUUUUUGUUUGGUGCACAUUUUUUUUUAUUUAAACACUUUGCGCAAGAUCUUCAGUCAAGCUAACCUGAUGAACGUAAAUUUAAUUUGCACUGGAGCAAACACAUUUACUUUCAACUUGUAAUUCACAUGCAAGUUACUGCGGUCACGAUAUUGCUUAUGAUUGGCACAAACAAUAGCGUGCAACUUGUAAACUGGCUCAUAGUCAAAUUUAUAAAUAAGGGGUGAUCCAUGAUGGGUGGAAUGCAGGAUUUUUUUUUUUUAAUCUACCAUUGAUAUUGCUUAUGAUGAUAGAAGUGUUAGUAAUUAAAUGAAACAAGCUUUGUAAAUUAUAAGCAAACACCCAUAUUUUCUCUUUUAAUUUGAAUGGCAGGACUUUAAAAAUGUAGUCCUAGAAGAUUUCUUGAGACUUGGAAAAGAAGCUGGUUUGAAAACCUUUGAACAAGUGAAAGAUAUUGCCUUGUAUCCAGAAAUGUUUUCCAUAGAAAAUGGCCUUUUAACACCUACAAUGAAAGCCAAGAGACCAGAGUUGAGAAAAUUCUUCAAGAGUCAAAUUGACGAACUGUAUGCCAAUAAUCACUUAUAACCGAAGAGCAGAAAUGUAUGAAGAAUUCCCAGGUUUAACUGGUCAUCGAUUAGCUCUCAAUUCACAACUGCAAACACAUUUAUACUGGUCAUAGGAAUAGCAAGAUCUGAAAUGCCUUAUUGGUCACCUUUCUUGUAACCAAUGUGACCUGGUGUCUCCAAAGUAGGCCUUAAAUUGAGAAGGACAUCUAGAUUUUAUUGGACAUCUUUGACUUUCCUUAUACAAAUGAAAAUCUCUGCAAUCUUAACAUAUUUUUCUAUCCCUAAUUUUAUGCUCCUUUCUGAUGUCAGCAUUUGUUACGCAGCCCAUGAUUGUAAUUAAUUUAAAUAAGAUGUAUGCGUGAAAAAAGUGGUGUAAAACUGUGAAAUGUUUUGGAAUAAGAGCAUAAGAACUGAAUGUAAUUUUUUGCUGUUUAAUACUGAAUGUAUAAUAAACUUCUUAAAAAAUAAACAAAAAUACAUAUAAAAAACACUUUUCAAAACAUUAAGAAAACCAGAUUUUUUUUUUUUUUUUUUUUUACCAAUCAAAUUUCACUGUUACCAGCUUGCAUAUACACAAAGCAAAUUAUGCUAGUAAGAACACUGAAAAUAGACAGCAACUGUUAAUACUUUCAAAUAACAUUCAUGCCAAAUAAUUAUACUUUUUAAAAUGGCACUAAUAGAUGUCUACCUUUUUCUUAAAAAUAUUUAAAUUGUGCAUUAUAUAUUGUAAAUGGUAUCUGCUUAAAUAUAUUUCCAUAAUUUUAUAAGGAAAUCCUCCUUUUUUCACCAAUGUGUCAGAAAGCUGCUAAAUCGUGGGCUAGUCUGGUUAUCUAUUUGCUGCCAGUCCCAGAUUUGAAAGUGCAAUUUUUGCUGACUUUUAUUUAAUCUGUUUUGCAGCGAUAAGUUAUUUAUGUAAUUUACAGAAGGGAAAUGUUCAAAAUAGACUUUUUGUGGCAAAAGGGACAUUUUUAGCACCACUGUUUGUUAUAUUUGUAUUCUAUGUUAAAUUGCCCUAGUACAAGUAUUUGUUAGAACUGAAAGCCACAAGGGAGGAAUUAGUUAAAAUCAAGCACAAAACUGUUUGCACUAUGUAAUUAUGAUGCACUGCAGCCUAGGGUAAUUAUCAUUUAUAUUAUUGCACAAAAUGCAGCAUGACCUUUUUAUCCAAAUUGUGUGGUAACUUCAAAGUUUGCCUAAAGCGUGGAUCUUGUACAAACCAAAAAAGUUCCCUUCUCUACUUCCAAAAACAUGAAGGAAACCAAAAUAAAUCAAUUUUCAUUUGAA
Molecule: long non-coding RNA, 5466 nt
Organism: Bombina bombina (fire-bellied toad)
Lineage: Eukaryota; Metazoa; Chordata; Amphibia; Anura; Bombinatoridae
Exons: 2
Source: RefSeq, a predicted model, not a curated record